ACGGGAUUUCUUACGUUGUCCAUUCCACCCACCCGCUGCCGCCGCUGAGACCACUUCCACAUCUUCCAAAUCAAAUCCAUUAGCCUCGGCCUCCACCACUUCCUCUUCCGUCGUAAUCAACUCCACCGCCACCACUUCGAAAUCCCUAACGGACGAGCAGAACAUCGACAACCUCGUUCUUCCCAGACAGGAAGUGAUCCGGAGACUUCGGUUUCUGAAACAGCCCAUAACGUUGUUCGGGGAAGAUGAUGAUGCUCGGCUCGACCGUCUGAAGUUUGUGCUGAAAGCGGGGCUUUUCGAGGUGGAUAGUGAUUUGACCGAGGGG
Molecule: unclassified non-coding RNA, 325 nt
Filed under: Hevea brasiliensis (rubber tree)
Lineage: Eukaryota; Viridiplantae; Streptophyta; Magnoliopsida; Malpighiales; Euphorbiaceae
Source: RNAcentral